Molecule: ribosomal RNA, 404 nt
Filed under: Verrucomicrobiota bacterium
Lineage: Bacteria; Pseudomonadati; Verrucomicrobiota
Description: Verrucomicrobia bacterium partial 16S ribosomal RNA
Rfam family: Bacterial small subunit ribosomal RNA
Source: RNAcentral
UGGGGAAUAUUGCACAAUGGGCGCAAGCCUGAUGCAGCAACGCCGCGUGAACGAUGAAGGUCUUCGGAUCGUAAAGUUCUGUUGCAGGGGAAGAUAAUGACGGUACCCUGUGAGGAAGCCCCGGCUAACUACGUGCCAGCAGCCGCGGUAAUACGUAGGGGGCUAGCGUUGUCCGGAAUCACUGGGCGUAAAGGGUUCGCAGGCGGAAUAACAAGUCAGAUGUGAAAGGCAUGGGCUCAACCCAUGUAAGCAUUUGAAACUGUAAUUCUUGAGAAGUGGAGAGGUAAGUGGAAUUCCUAGUGUAGCGGUGAAAUGCGUAGAUAUUAGGAGGAAUACCUGUGGCGAAGGCGACUUACUGGAAACAAAUCUGACGCUGAGGAACGAAAGCGUGGGUAGCAAACAGG